Anthonomus grandis grandis is the source of this 1675-nucleotide long non-coding RNA. RefSeq lists it as uncharacterized. Lineage: Eukaryota; Metazoa; Arthropoda; Insecta; Coleoptera; Curculionidae. The record is from RefSeq and is a predicted model, not a curated record. The transcript is spliced from 2 exons.
CCUCUACAAACGAAAGUUUUUUAGUAAAAAAUUAUUGAAAUGUUAGAUGUAGAAAAAUAUAAACGACUAUAACUUCCAAAACUCCCAAAGGAUUCGAAUGAAACUUUUUUAUACAACUAAUAAUAAAUAUCUAAAUCGAUUUUACAUGGUUGCAAAUCUCUACAAACGAAAGUUUUUUGGUAAAAAAUUAUUGAAAUGUUAGAUGUAGAAAAAUAUAAACGGCUAUAACUCCCAAAACUCCCAAAGGAUUUGAAUGAAACUUUUUUACGCAAUUAGUAAUAAAUAUUUAAAUCGAUUUUACAUGGUUGCAAAUCUCUACAAACGAAAGUUUUUUGGUAAAAAAUUAUUGAAAUGUUAGAUGUAGAAAAAUAUAAACGGCUAUAACUCCCAAAACUCCCAAAGGAUUUGAAUGAAACUUUUUUACGCAAUUAGCAAUAAAUAUUUAAAUCGAUUUUACAUGGUUGCAAAUCUCUACAAACGAAAGUUUUUUGGUAAAAAAUUAUUGAAGUGUUAGAUAUAAAAAAAUAUAAACGGCUAUAACUCCCAAAACUCCCAAAGGAUUUGAAUGAAACUUUUUUACGCAAUUAGCAAUAAAUAUUUAAAUCGAUUUUACAUGGUUGCAAAUCUCUACAAACGAAAGUUUUUUGGUAAAAAAUUAUUGAAGUGUUAGAUAUAAAAAAAUAUAAACGGCUAUAACUCCCAAAACUCCCAAAGGAUUUGAAUGAAACUUUUUUACGCAAUUAGCAAUAAAUAUUUAAAUCGAUUUUACAUGGUUACAAAUCUCUACAAACGAAAGUUUUUUGGCAAAAAAUUAUUGAAAUGUUAGAUGUAAAAAAAUAUAAACGGCUAUAACUCCCAAAACUCCCAAAGGAUUUGAAUGAAACUUUUUUACGCAAUUAGUAAUAAAUAUUUAAAUCGAUUUUACAUGGUUGCAAACCUCUACAAACGAAAGUUUUUUAGUAAAAAAUUAUUGAAAUGUUAGAUGUAGAAAAAUAUAAAUGACUAUAACUUCCAAAACUCCCAAAGGAUUCGAAUGAAACUUUUUUAUACAACUAAUAAUAAAUAUCUAAAUCGAUUUUACAUGGUUGCAAAUCUCUACAAACGAAAGUUUUUUGGUAAAAAAUUAUUGAAAUGUUAGAUGUAGAAAAAUAUAAACGGCUAUAACUCCCAAAACUCCCAAAGGAUUUGAAUGAAACUUUUCCCAGUUCGUGCGUAAAUGCAUUCCCCGUCGUGUAAUAAAACAAAAUUUUAAAAAAAAUUACACCAAAGUGCGCAAAGAAUUUUAUUGCUGGGCAGUUCAGUGGGUAAAAACUUAACUGCUUCUAACAACAUAUACAAAUUCCUGGAUGAAUUUCCAAAAGGAUCUUAACUGAGACCAGACACUGCUACAAACGGGGCCUAUGCAUCCUGGUAGCAAUCCAGCCAGUGGUUUUAACGUAAUUUUUGAUAGGACCUUUAUGGAAAAUAUUGACUGUUGUCUCCUGAAAGAGAGCGAUUACCUAAAGGGAAGACCCGGACUCCCUUUGUAGCACCUGACUGUAGUAUCGACGACUUAGAGCUACUAGCCCCGAUGGUUUAAUUCCAUACUACUAUUUGGCUGGACUUGGAUCUUGUAUUUCUACUCAGAAAUCACUAUCUUUGUAUUUGUUAUAUAAAAUAAACAAUUGGAAAAUUA